AGCAUCGCACAGUGCCAGUAUCACAGCCAACGAAGUUUAUCUAAGGUGUGAUUAUUGCUAAUUGAAAACUUUUCCCAGAAUGCAUGGCUGGCUCAGAUGGGGGAACAUGUGACUCUUGAUCUCCCAGUCAUGGA
Ursus americanus (American black bear) is the source of this 134-nucleotide small nuclear RNA. Its record names the gene U4. It matches the Rfam family "U4 spliceosomal RNA". From Rfam's summary of the family: U4 small nuclear RNA (U4 snRNA) is a component of the major U2-dependent spliceosome. NCBI's taxonomy places the organism in Eukaryota, Metazoa, Chordata, Mammalia, Carnivora, Ursidae. The record is from Ensembl.